This 464-nucleotide ribosomal RNA is filed under the name uncultured Geobacteraceae bacterium. Its description in RNAcentral is "partial 16S ribosomal RNA". It matches the Rfam family "Bacterial small subunit ribosomal RNA", at positions 338 to 794 of the family's 1533-position model. Lineage: Bacteria; Pseudomonadati; Thermodesulfobacteriota; Desulfuromonadia; Geobacterales; Geobacteraceae. The record is from RNAcentral.
CCUACGGGAGGCAGCAGUGGGGAAUUUUGCGCAAUGGGGGCAACCCUGACGCAGCAACGCCGCGUGAGUGAUGAAGGCCUUCGGGUCGUAAAGCUCUGUCAGAGGGGAAGAAAUGCAGGUGGUGAACAACCAUUCUGUUUGACGGUACCCUCAAAGGAAGCACCGGCUAACUCCGUGCCAGCAGCCGCGGUAAUACGGAGGGUGCGAGCGUUGUUCGGAAUUAUUGGGCGUAAAGCGCGUGUAGGCGGUUUGUUAAGUCGGAUGUGAAAGCCCCGGGCUCAACCUGGGAAGUGCAUUGGAUACUGGCAGACUUGAGUACGGGAGAGGAGAGUGGAAUUCCAAGGGUAGGGGUGAAAUCCGUAGAUAUGGGGAGGAACACCGGUGGCGAGGGCGGCUCUUGGGACCGAUACUGACGCUGAGACGCGAAAGCGUGGGGAGCAAACGGGAUAAGAUACCCUUGUAGU